CGCAUAUAGCGUGACCCCUUCCCCCUUGCCUUCUUCUUUUUGGGGGAGAGAAAAACGAGAUUAAAAAAUAGACCCCGGGGAUAUACAAAAUCUGAGGGGAGUGGCCUUCCCUUUCCUUCAUUUCUCUCCAAAACCUCUACACGGUUAACGAUGAUGCUAGCCGCUCUCCCUCUCUCUCGUUCAUCUACAAACACACACGAAAAGGGAAAGAAAACACACUUGAAUUCUGAACUUUCAGAUCUGGAAAAAGUUGAAAAAAAGGAUUUAAAGCUAUUUGAGUCUCAUACAAUUGCCGCCUAUUUCGGGGCCUUUGCAAGCUGUUUUGAGUUGAAGAAGUUGAUCGAUUUCUGUUGUUCUUCCUUCUCAUGUUGAUUGUUGUUAUUCUGUGGUUUUCGCCAAAUUCAUGGCCUAGCUCCAGUAUUCAUUUUUGUUCGUUUUGGUCCGGGAGUGAGGUAAACACAUAAAACUCUUGAUUUAUUUGAGUUUUCUUCAAUAAAAUGAGUUUGUGAUCUAUUUGGGAUCCGUAUGAUAUUUGUUUUUGCUCAGAUUUUUGUAUUAAAACUGUCUCCUUAGUACUGAAUCGGAUUAUUCCUUGGAGCUACAACUCACAAGUUUUAAUUUGAGCUUUUAAAAUUCACUGUAUGUUGAUUUGAUUAACAGUUGAACUGUUUCUCUACAUUAUUCGGUUUGUGUGAUAAUCUCCCUGAUUUGGUUUAGUUUAGUUUAUAUCCUGUCAAAGUUUUCCGGUUAGAAAUUAUGUCAAAUUUUGAAGUUACCGGAAAUGAUAGUUAAUGUGAAAAGGUUCGACACUAGCGUGCUUCAGUUCUUAAUUUCUACUCCAUUCUGUGAUUCAUGUUAUGAAUGGUUGCAACAUCUCUGCCAUACUUAUCUUAUCAAAUAAAUUGUAGACAUAGAAACUCUAGAAUUGGAGUAGAACCAUACAGAUGUGCACACUAAACACCAGGUAUUAACAGGACAAGGGUGACGUGAACAAAUCUGAUAUUCUUUGGAUAAAAGAUGGAAGAGGAAACAAGCGAAUUCAAUUGUAAAAUCUGAUUAGUGUGUAAUUUGAUUUUGCCGAUGCAACGGAAAGGGCUGUUAGUAUAACAUCUGGAGAGACAAAGGCACACUCUUCUAGUUCUAUGCUCUAUGCGAGUGUUAACAUGAUUAUGUACCUGUAUGUGUGUGCUUGUUCAGUUGGUAUUCUUUUUCACUUGUGUUGGACCGAUCUAUUGGAUAUAAUUAGCUUUAGCUCUAUUUCUUUUUUGUUGUAGAUAUUAUUUACUUAUGAGUUUAUAUCUCCCUUUUAGUUUCUAAAAUUCUAAUUGUUUGACAGAAUCUAUAGCUUGAAAUGCACACAUGCACUGUGUUAUGUAGUAAGCUGGGUAUUUAGGCACAAUAUGAAAUUCAAUGUGAAUAUUGCUAGGGAGAAGUGUUCAUUUCUCUUCAGUUUCUUGCUUACGAGUAAUGACAACUGUUAGUGUAGGGUGGUCUGUUUAAAUUGAGAAGCUAUACAAUGCUGUCCAAUAAUCUGGUAUCCAUACCUCGUUCCAUAAUUCAUGGCCUCUUU
RNAcentral lists this long non-coding RNA (1570 nucleotides) under Nicotiana benthamiana. RNAcentral describes it as "long non-coding RNA (NBEN_LNC006288)". The record is from RNAcentral. Lineage: Eukaryota; Viridiplantae; Streptophyta; Magnoliopsida; Solanales; Solanaceae.